GUAAACGAUGAUAACUCGUUGUUGGGCUGAAACAGCUCAGUGGCUAAGCGAAAGCGAUAAGUUAUCCACCUGGGGAGUACGAUCGCAAGGUUGAAACUCAAAGGAAUUGACGGGGGCCCGCACAAGCGGAGGAGCAUGUGGUUUAAUUCGAUGAUACGCGAGGAACCUUACCCGGGCUCGAACGUAUGAUGAAUAAUAUGGAAACAUGUUAGUCGAAAGACAUUAUACGAGGUGCUGCAUGGUUGUCGUCAGCUCGUGCCGUGAGGUGUCAGGUUAAGUCCUAUAACGAGCGCAACCCCUACUGUUAGUUGCCAGCAUGUAAAGAUGGGGACUCUAGCGGAACUGCCUACGCAAGUAGAGAGGAGGGUGGGGAUGACGUCAAAUCAGCACGGCCCUUAUGUCCGGGGCGACACACGUGCUACAAUGGUCGAUACAGAGGGCAGCUACUUAGUGAUAAGGUGCAAAUCUCAAAAAUCGAUCUCAGUUCGGAU
RNAcentral lists this ribosomal RNA (491 nucleotides) under uncultured bacterium. RNAcentral's name for it is "bacterial SSU rRNA". It matches the Rfam family "Bacterial small subunit ribosomal RNA", at positions 802 to 1298 of the family's 1533-position model. The record is from RNAcentral.